This 465-nucleotide ribosomal RNA is filed under the name uncultured Klebsiella sp. RNAcentral's name for it is "bacterial SSU rRNA". It matches the Rfam family "Bacterial small subunit ribosomal RNA", at positions 338 to 795 of the family's 1533-position model. Lineage: Bacteria; Pseudomonadati; Pseudomonadota; Gammaproteobacteria; Enterobacterales; Enterobacteriaceae. The record is from RNAcentral.
CCUACGGGAGGCAGCAGUGGGGAAUAUUGCACAAUGGGCGCAAGCCUGAUGCAGCCAUGCCGCGUGUGUGAAGAAGGCCUUCGGGUUGUAAAGCACUUUCAGCGGGGAGGAAGGCGUUAAGGUUAAUAACCUUGUCGAUUGACGUUACCCGCAGAAGAAGCACCGGCUAACUCCGUGCCAGCGGCCGCGGUAAUACGGAGGGUGCAAGCGUUAAUCGGAAUUACUGGGCGUAAAGCGCACGCAGGCGGUCUGUCAAGUCGGAUGUGAAAUCCCCGGGCUCAACCUGGGAACUGCAUUCGAAACUGGCAGGCUAGAGUCUUGUAGAGGGGGGUAGAAUUCCAGGUGUAGCGGUGAAAUGCGUAGAGAUCUGGAGGAAUACCGGUGGCGAAGGCGGCCCCCUGGACAAAGACUGACGCUCAGGUGCGAAAGCGUGGGGAGCAAACAGGAUUAGAUACCCCGGUAGUC